AUUGAACGCUGGCGGCAUGCCUUACACAUGCAAGUCGAACGGCAGCAUGAUCUAGCUUGCUAGAUUGAUGGCGAGUGGCGAACGGGUGAGUAAUACAUCGGAACGUGCCCUGUAGUGGGGGAUAACUAGUCGAAAGAUUAGCUAAUACCGCAUACGACCUGAGGGUGAAAGUGGGGGACCGCAAGGCCUCAUGCUAUAGGGGCGGCCGAUGUCUGAUUAGCUAGUUGGUGAGGUAAAGGCUCACCAAGGCGACGAUCAGUAGCUGGUCUGAGAGGACGAUCAGCCACACUGGGACUGAGACACGGCCCAGACUCCUACGGGAGGCAGCAGUGGGGAAUUUUGGACAAAGGGCGAAAGCCUGAUCUAGCAAUGCCGCGUGUGUGAAGAAGGCCUUCGGGUUGUAAAGCACUUUUGUCCGGAAAGAAAUGGCUCUGGUUAAUACCUGGGGUCGAUGACGGUACCGGAAGAAUAAGGACCGGCUAACUACGUG
Molecule: ribosomal RNA, 490 nt
Filed under: uncultured bacterium
Lineage: Bacteria
Description: partial 16S ribosomal RNA
Rfam family: Bacterial small subunit ribosomal RNA
Source: RNAcentral